Molecule: unclassified non-coding RNA, 469 nt
Filed under: Bombus terrestris (buff-tailed bumblebee)
Lineage: Eukaryota; Metazoa; Arthropoda; Insecta; Hymenoptera; Apidae
Description: misc RNA ENSBTSG00005031313.1
Source: RNAcentral
CUAUAUGAAUUAUUAUUAUUAUUAUAUCAUUAUUAUUAUUAUUAUUAUUAUUAUAUUAUGAUUAUUAUUAUUAUUAUUAUAAUGAAUUAUUAAGGGCCUGCUGUUCUAGCACUGGAAAGUGGUACCUCCGGUGGGAUCUGCGGACCGUUCUUUCUUCCUCUUCUUCUUCUUGCUGCCGUAUCCGUAGUUAUCCCUGGCACUCCAGCCGGGGUAUCGUUGCUGAUGGAGAUGGCGCUCCUGCCUGGCCGCCUCAUAAUACCGCGCCUGCUCCUCCCGGCUUAGCGAGUGCCACUGCGUGUCUCGUCUUCCCAAUAUUUGGUUGAUCGCGGCGCUCUCUUUUAAGGUACACUCCGCCACGACCUUCGCCCUCAUCUCCUUCAUGUACAGCAUGAACGCGUUCAAAGGCUUUUUUAUAUGGGGUUUCUUUUUAUCUGUCAAACAUCAUCGACGGGUAUGAGAGGUGGCCUCU